GAGAGAGAGAGAGAGAGAGAGAGAGAGAGAGAGAAUCUCCAGCAGGCUCUGCACCUCAGCAUGGAGCCUGACUUGGGGCUUGAACUCAGGAAAGUAGGAUCAUGAACUGAGCUGAAACCAAGAGUCAGAUGCUUAACUGAGCCACCCAGGUGCCCCUUGGCUAUUGCUGAUAGCACUGCUCUAAACAUUGGGGUGCAUGUGCCCCUUCAAAUUAGCAUUUUUGUAUCCCUUGGAUAAAUUCCUAGUAGUGCAGUUACUGGGUUGUAGGGUAGGUGUAUUUUUAACUUCUUGAGGAGCCUCCAUACAGCUUUCCAGAGCGGCUGCACCAGUUUGCAUUCCCACCAAUAGUGCAAAAGGGUUCCCCUUUCUCCACAUCCCCACCAACAUCUGUUGUUUCCUCGAUCGUUAAUUUUAGCCAUUGUGACAGGUGUGAGGUGGUAUCUCACUGUGGUUUUGAUUUGUAUUUCCCUGAUGAGGAGUGACAUUAAGCAUCUUUUCAUGUGCCUGUUGGCCGUCUGGAUGUCUUCUUUGGAAAAGUGUCUGUUCAUAUCUUCUGUCCCUUUCUUCACUGGAUUAUUUGUUUUUUGGGUGUUGAGUUUGAUAAGUUCUUGAUAGAUUUUGGAUACUAACCCUUUAUCUGAUAUGUCAUUUGCAAAUAUCUUUUCCUAAUCCGUUGGUUGCCUUUUAGUUUUAUUGAUUGUUUCCUUUGCUGCUCAGCCCUUUAAAGAUUAUUUCCCUAGACUCGGGGCUAGAUUGCAUUUCUUUUAAUGUAAAUUUUUAAGCAAAGUGUAACACAGAGAAAAAGGUACAAAUCAAGAGAGUACCAUAUCAUGGUAAGUCUUUCAAUGUGAGCAUCUCCCAAAGUAAUUAGCACCUAAGUCAGGAAAGAUUAUGUUAUUAACACCCCAGAAAUCUCAUGCCCCCGUCUAGUCCUACCAUGGUCCUAGCGUCUAACAUCAUUACAGCAAAACAAAACAAAAAAAAACCUCUACUGCUACAUAAUAUACAUACCUUAAAAUUUAAAGUAUAUCGUGGAUUUAGAAUGUUCAGAGAUGUGGGGCCAUCACUAAUCUAAGUUCAGAACAUUCCGUCACCCCCAGAAGAAACUCUAUACCCAUUAGCAGUCACUCCCCACAUUGGUUAGUUUUGCCUGUUUGUUAAUUUGCUCAUCUAUAAAUGGACUCAGUAUAUUUGACUUACUUUAUGUUUGAUUUCUCUCUCUUUUUUUUUUUUAAUAUUUGAGAGACGCAGCAUGUGUGUGAGCUGAGGAGGGGAAGAGAGAGAGGGUGAGAGAGGAUCCCAAGCAGUCUCCGUGAUGUCAGUGUUCAGCCCGAUGUGGGGCUCGAUCCCACAGACCAUGAGAUCAGGACCUGAGCUGAAAUCAAGAGUUUGAUGCUUGGGGCGCCGGGGUGGCUCAGUGGGUUAAGUGUCCAACUUUCACUUCGGUCAUGAUUUUGUGGUUCGUGGGUUCGAGCCCUGUGUCAGGUUCAGUGCUGACAGCUCAGAGCCUGGAGCCUGCUUUGGAUUCCGUGUCUCCCUCUCUCGUGUGCGCGCGCUCUCUCUCUCUCUCAAAAAUAAAUUGAAAAAAGAGUUGGAUGCUUAACCAACUGAGCCACCCAGGUGCCCCUGUUUCUUACAGUUUCUAAUCCUCAUUGUGUAUGGUUCUGGUUUGUUCAUUCUCAUUGCUGCGUUCCAUGAUUUAUCUAUUUUACUGUUGUUAGACAUUUGAGUUGGUUCUAAUUGUAUGAAUGUUGGGUAUGCAUCUUUUGGUGAAUAUGGGUAUACACCACGGUGUGAAAUGUCUGGGACAUAUGUACAUACUCAGUUGUACAGGAUACUGUCAAGGAAUUUUCCAAAGGACUUGUACCCUUGACACUCCCACGAGCAGGAUUUGAAAGUUCCAGGUCCUCCACAUCCUGGCUACACAUGAUAUAUCCUGUCAUUCUUGUUUUAGCCCUUCUGGUGGAUUAAAAUGGUAUUGUAUUGUGGCUUUAAUUUGCAUUUCCCUGAUGACAGAUAAAGCUGAGCAUCAUUUUUACGUGCUUACUGGCCAUUUGGAUAUUCUCUUUUGUGAAGUUUCCAUUCAAGAUUUUACUUUUGUCCAUUUCUUCUAUUGAAUUGCCUGCCUUUUUCUUACUGAUUUCCAUUUCUUUGUUCUGGCUAUGAGUCCUUUGUUAGAUAUAUGUGUUAGAAAUACUUCUCCCACUCUGUGGCUUGCCUCUGUGCUAGGUUACUUUUUAUGCGAAGGGGAAAUAAUUUUAUAACUAGCUCAGAUGUUAACAUAAUCUUUGUUGGCUGUCUUUGCCAGAUUUUAUAUAAAUCAUAUGUGUCAGUCUUCUUGCAAUUUUUUCUCUUGAUGGAUGAUGUCAUCAUACUGGUGUGCCUGAAGCGUAUAGGAUUUGAGAGAGAGGAAAUCUAGUGAGUUUUUGUAUCUUUGUUAAACUUUAGUUUUAUUAGAUUAUUAUUUAAGACUUGGCUAUUUUUCUUUUCCUUUGCUGUGCAAGUUAAGGUGCGUCUGCGUGUGGUGUAGACACUGCGGGUUGCUUACCCUGCUUUCAUUCUCCUCUCUCUGCUAAUAGAAGCUUCAUUUGUUCAGAGCUGCAGUGUGCAUAAUUAAAGCUGCUUGCUGAUUUAUGACUCUUUGAAAUUAGGGUUGGUUAUGUGACAUGUUCUGCCAGUAGCCCAUGUAGGAGAGGUCUGUUGGGUGGGAAUUCCAGGAAAGCUGUUGCUUUUCUAAGAGAAAGGAACAGACUUAGCCGGCAGACAUCUUCUGCCCGUCCUGGGUUCCUUUCUGGAAAGUGCUCCUGAGCCUCCGAGGCUUUGCCACUGUCCUGCAAUCAUGACGAUGAGAGAUAGGCGCUAAAGAUAGCAGAGUUGGUCGUGGGUGGUGUCAUGGGGUCAAAGUAUAAGCCUUGGGCUGCUUUCUUAUGUUGUCCAGAGAAAGACCGAUAGGAGAUGGAGAUCUACUUCUAUUUACGCAGGCUGAAAAGUUCCAUGAUUUGCUGUCUGCAGCUAGAGACCUGGGAGAGCUGAUGGUAGAAAUUCCAGCCUGAGUCCAAAUGCUUGAGACCCUGGAAAGCCAAUGGUGUAAGUUCUAGUCUGACGAAAGGAGAAGACCAAUACCCUAGUUCAACAAGUGGGGCUGAGAGAGGGAGCAUGUGUGAGCAUGCUCCCCAUGCCUUCAACUCAUUGGACAAGGCCCACCCACACUGCGAGGAGCCAUCUGCUUUACUCAGUCCAGUGAUUCAGACAUUAAUCUCCUCCAGAAUAAUGUGGGUUUUUUUCCCCCCAAGUUUAUUUUGAGAGACAGCGCGCGUGCUAGAGGGGCAGAGAGAGAGAGGGAGACAGAGAAUCCCAAGUCGAGCGUGGAGCCUGAGGAGGGGCUCAAAGUCACGAAACCAUGAGAUAAUGACCUGAGCUGAAACCAAGAGUCAGACACUUAACUGACUGAGCCACCCAGGUGCCUGCAUCCAGAAUAAUGUUGAGCCAGACAUCUGGGCACCCUGUGUUACCAGCCACGUUGACACAGUUACGCAUCACAGCGGUCUUCCUCGUGGCCUCUUGUUUUAUGAGAGGAGUAUGGGGUAAUUCCCCGGUUCAGGGUGUUCCCACAUAUGUUGCUGAAUUCAGCCCCUAAGAAAUACAGACAUUACUCAGAUUUCUUGGCUUACAAAAUCAAGACUUGUGGCAGGUACGUGACGGUGCUCUAGGGGUGCGCCUGCCUGAGCUGCAGUAAGGUGGGGCUUUGCCACAUCCUGCUAAGACAGAAAUGCACCUGCGUUCCUGUGCGUGAGUCUGUGGAUGUGGGCCCCCGGUCAUCUCAGCUGCAGAAAAGCCCUUCAUCCAACUGAUGUUAAAGGCAGUUCAGAGACCACCCGGUGCUGGAGACCCAGAGGAGUGCUUCUGGCCCGGAGGGGCAAUUCUGUCACCCGGCUUAUUAGACGGAAGCAUCUAGCUCUGGUCUCUCUCUGGUGUUUAUCCCCAGGUCUUUGUUAGAGUAACAAACGGCUUUGAGAGGGAAAAGUCCCAAAUACUUGUUACUGAUGUGAAAGAUACUUGAGAAGGUACAUGCUUGUGACUUCGUUACUUGGGGCAAAAUCAUCUUUGAUUCCCAUUAUGAGUCUGGGACUCACAUUAUGCCCACGUGGGCCUAAAAGGUACUUGUGGCUUUUUGUCCUUUAUACAGGUUUUUAAUAAUUUUUUUUAAUGUUCAUUUUUGAGAGAGAGCAUGAGCAGGGCCACCUAAUUGCUGAAGGAGGAAUGGUUCCGUUCGGCACUUUUCCACGCUUGGAGAACCAGCACUCGGAGAUCACGGCAUCGUAGGCUUGUGCCGCCUCUUCUGGGGCCUGAAUCCCGGCUCUGCGGGUCCCGCCAGGUGCCUGGGGCGCCCACUGGGUCCUCUCCUUGAAGGGUUGACUCCCUGCUCCACAGGGCACCUCCUUCAUGCUUCUAGGCCUUAACCUUCCCCCGCCUUUGUUUCCCUGCCCUGAGUGGUAGCUACCACUGACCGAGCCUGCUUUCUUAGCACCUUCUAGUGUGUUCUAGAAUGUACUUUUUAUUUUCUCCCUCCCUCCACUCACCAUAGAAUAGAAAUCUCUGCGGGCCAGGGAUUCCACACCUCUGGUUUGCUGCAGACGUGAGGUGAGAAGGAAUGAGCGGAUGGUCCUCCAGGGGUGAUUGCGAGACUUUGGGAUGAUGCCAAGAUUUUUGCCCGAGCCCUGGACGGUUGGAGUUGCCUGUGGCUCAGCCGAGGAAGGAGACGGUGGAGCAGGUUUGGAGGGGGAAGGUCAGAGCGUGAGCUCUGGCCAUGCUAGCAUGUUAACGUUUUAUUUAUUUUUGAGACAGAGAGAGACAGAGCAUGAACGGGGCAGGGGCAGAGAGAGAGGGAGACACAGAAUCGGAAGCAGGCUCCAGGCUCCGAGCCAUCAGCCCAGAGCCCAACGCGGGGCUCGAACUCACGGACCGCGAGAUUGUGACCUGAGCUGAAGUCGGACGCUUAACCGACUGAGCCACCCAGGCGCCCCCAUGCUAGCAUGUUAGAUCAUCUCCAGGUGGAGACGCUGACAGGAAGAUGUCCAAGCUCGGGGACACGGGGAUAAACACAGGUGUCGUCAGCCCCUACACGACACUUAAAACCGUGAGAGCAGAGGCCAGCUCCCGGAAGAGUGGGGGACGGUGAAGGGGAGAGAACAGAGCCGGGAAGGGCCGAUGCUGGGGCACCAGGGAGAUGAAAACUACCGAGGAGGUUGGAAACAGGAGCCCCGACUGACUGCUGUGAGCAGGAAAACCCGGGAGGACACCAUGUGCUGGCAUUCCAGAGAAGGACGCGAGGGGACCCACUGUGUCGUGUAGCCGACCCAGGGACCACAGAGAGACUAAGGAUGGCCCAAAGCCCGGAUUGCCUCAGCGUUGGUUCCGCCAUUCUGUGGGGACAGGACCCAGGCCCGGCACAUGCUGCGUAUGGGUAACUACUUGUAAGGAACAGUGAGACACAUGCUAAUGUAGCCAGAGACUGACCUCGAACGUCUAAUCCUUUUUGGUGGUAGGAGCACAUCAUUGAGAAUACGUCGUCUUUGUAUAAUUAACAAGGCAAUUAGAGAAAGGGAGACUUAGCCUCUACGACACAAACUGAGCUCUUCUGUAUCUAGCAAGACCGUGAGGGUAUCAGCUUUAGAUUGACUUAAAAGAAAAAAAAAAUCCGAGGAGGACACAGGCACCUGAAUUACAGACUUCCGGAGCCUGUUGAAGCACAGACCGCUUAGAAACAAAAUCUCCGAGAGGCAGCCAAGAUCUUUUCAUUUUGAAAAUGCUUUAAUAAGUGUUGACAACACUGUUUUGCAAAAUGUAAAGGUACUAUACAAAUUCUUAAUACAAAAAGAAUAAAUUAAAAGCAGAUUUCUUUUUAAUUCUGCAACUUUGUCUACAACAUACAUCCUUUUCAUUGAUUACAGUUGAACAGAAUCCAGUAAAAUCAUUUUACAUGCUCUACAGUCAGUUUCAGGAGCAACCUAAUCCUUUCUCCCCAUUAUUAAACUAGAGUCCAUUUUACACAACGUGUAAUAAACUAUUGACAUUAAUGUAUAUGUAAAACUUUACACCUAGUUAACUAAGCAGUAACUGGUCAUCUGAUAGCACCUGGAGGGGGGUUUGCUAUAUUUAGAACUAACACUGAAUGAAAACAAAUCGGAAUUUUAACAGUUUCAACACUCACCUGCAUAUAAUAAAACAAAACAAAAAAAAUCCACCUGUCUCACAACAAAGUCUGAUGUAGGUGUUCCCAACAGUCUUCAGGCUAAACAGGCAAUUUCUUACACGUAUCCCAAGAAUCCAGUAGGGGCUUAUAUCAGACCAGGGGCUUUAUAUUCCAUCUUACUUUGUUUUUAAAGAAAUCGGGAUCUGGGAAGAGCUUGCAAGUGCUUGUACAAAACAGCUAUUGUUUCCCACCACACUGGUCAUGAAUCAUGUCGGUCUCAAAGGACUAACAUUAUGUACAUUUUGUAGUAACUGAACGCAGCUCAACAGUAAAACCUGUUUGACUUAAUCUCCGUCUUUACUACCAGACUAUAAUGGUGUUUGUCUGAACUGGAUUUCCCUCCCACCCCGUUCCUCGCUGCCUCCUGAAUCCAAAACCCAAGCGUUGAGGAAGAAUUUUCGUCUCUCAUUCCUCGUAAACCCAACUGGGCUCAAAGCGUGAUCCGAUGGACGUCAGACCAGAUUUGAAACUACGUUUGGUGGCGGCCGUGGGAUCCAAAGAGAACUUCAGCCAGCUUCAGGGACAAGAAACGGAGACCUGGUACCUGCAAACCCCUUGAGUUCUCUUUGUCACCAUCUCUGAGGGCCCUGGGUAAGUACCUCUCGGUUUCGAGCUCUGCCCUCUUGGCCUUAAGCUCCCCAUCGAAUCGGCUGCCCAGUCCAGCGGUAACAUUCGGUUUGGACUCCCAGGAGGUGCCGGGCGAGUCCUCAGCCCUUGCUUACUCUGCAACCCCAGUCCAGGGCCUAGCUGCUCAGCCUGAGCUGGCAGGUGGUUCCACCUGGAACCUGAGUCCCCAGCCCUCGGCUAGCCCACGGCGCCCACCGUUGACAUGCGCUCGUUCAGUCCACAGUUGUGUGCUGGGAACCACGGGUGGUGCGCACGUAAGGCCUUGUCACGGCCAGUCCGCAGUAUCCUCUCCUUGCUCACUGCGGGUCUGUGAGCGUGCACGUGAGGUAAAGGAACAAUAAAUCUGUCGUUAAUGGGCAGCUCAGAAACCAGAGCUGGAAAGUCGGUGGGCACCUAAAAGCUGUUAGAGCGUGUGGCCACCCAACUCGAUGACCGUUAUAAGCUGGUUACGGAAUGGCCUAGAUGGACACUAGGUCACCCGCCAACCUCAAGAAAAUUUCCACCCAGUGAGGUACACGGUGGAACACCGCAAGAUUCCCAGCCCAGCGGUACGUCCCUCUUAACUGUCAACUUGUCUCUGACAAACCUAAGGCUUAGGCGACGAAAUGAGAUCCUCCGGUUCCAAGGAAUUGAGUGUGCCCCCUUCCGGCACAACUGCUUUUAUGUCUAAGAAGUAGGUCCCAGAAGCUGUACGUGACUACAAAGAUGGCAAGUAAAGCAAGCUAGAAUCACCAGGGCUGUUGUGUGAAAGGAUUUCAGCCUAAAAUGAAACCGGAGGAAAUGAAACGGAGAAGCUCAUGCCUGUGUCUUCAGGAGAAGGGAACUGAAAACUGGACCGAUUUCCUGGAAGGGCCUGAUUUACGGGAGACUGAGACUUCUCUCCAGCAUAGUGAACAUCUGCCCGGAAUGGCUCCUGUCCUCAAGCCAGUGAACUUACUGUUGGACCACGGACGCUGCCAGGAGAGACCGCCUUCUCCAAAGUACAAGACCACUGUGUAAGGAUAAGGCGCAGACAGACGAGCAAGUUUCACAGCAGCUCACUUGCCACCCACGAGACGAUUCCGUGCAACAAGGGACACCAGGUCAUAGGUCAGACAAGUAGGGCAAAGGCUGUCCUCCGUGAAGAGGACGUUUCCCACGAAAGGCACACUGUCGAACAAAACCCAAGUCGGCACCCUAAGUAUUCGGUACUCUUGGGAAGACUCUAAAGAUGGGAUCCCAGGCAUCUCAAUGCUGUAAGGGUGACCCUCACCCCAAAACCCCAGUGGUUUUAUGCUAAAAAAAAAAGAAGUUACGGUCUCUCAUGCACACAGACCGGCAGUAUUGAAGACAACUUGGAAUUGCAGUGGUCAUUACAAGGAAUGUUCCAGUUAGACAAGUUCCCUCAUUUAAGAAGUGCACUUGAAUGCAAGGGUUCCCAAAUGAAACAGACAGAACAGGUUACCUAUUUCAGUCAGCAUGCAGAAGCCUCCAGAAGGCUUCAAGAUUCCCAAACUGCUUCAUUGAAAGAUUGAUUGCAAAAGGGUAAUGAAAAGUUAAAGACCCAAGAGGGACCUAAAACGAGACCAUAUGACUGCUGGGACUCCUGGAACUCCCCUUUCUCCUCCUCUACACCCGAGCACUCAUAGUAUUAAUCCUCUGUCUGAAUGGUCUUUCCACCCGGAAGAGACUACAUGACCACACUCACACCAGUCUGUCAAAGGAGGGCCCCCAUACAGGCCCCUCACAGGAUUGACGGGAUUCUGAGGGAUUCUCUUGUAACCACUACCAGUCAUUCCUGGAACAGCUAAGGGGAAACUAAAAUUAAAGGGACCCCUUGUCAAGUUCUGGCAGAUGCACAACUUACACUCUGUACUUUGAACCCCACUUGCUCCAGAGCCCACAGAUGGGAAUCCUGGAAAAAGAAGGGCGAGAAUCCUUACCUGAGUUUGCUCUCCCAAGUUACUGUGGCCCACUCAAGAGAGGAAGGAAUCAAAGUUGUUCUCAUCAGAAGGGAAAAACUGUGGGAGAGUGGUGUUCUCCAAGGUGGAAAAUGUUGUCUUCACAAGUAUCAGUGAAAAGUUGAAGUCCCCUUGACUCACCCUUUUACCAGAAGCAUGAGGUGAAUGUGAUCCUCUUAUAAAUGGACCCUUGAUUGUUUUGCUCUGAUGAUUCUGCAAAACUGAAACGCAUGGAAAGAACCCUACCAAGAACUCUGGACCGCUGACAUUCCUGCCAAAUUAGAAGGUGUUGAACCCGGGUGCCUAUGUCACAACUGAGGAAGGCUCCAUCUGACUUUGGGUCCAGUACAAAAGCCGGAGACCUCAAACUCAAAUGCACCAGCAAGAGAGGUCGACUGCUUCUUCCCAAGAUGGGGGGUUUCAAUCCAUGUUCGCAGCCAUUAACCACCUAGCAAAUAAUCCCCCUAAGAACAGAACUUCAGAAAAGGAACAAAGAGAAUGACCAACGGAAAGAACGAACCUGAUGUCAUGACCCGUGAAUACCACACAGACAUUUGGCAAAAGACCACGAGAACUCCCGAGCUUUAGAGGGAAGCGGCCCUAAUGCCUUAAGUUGUGAUCCCAUCUCUCAGGCUGAGAAUCGGAUCAGAAGGAGGGACAUGUUGAAAACAAGAAAAUAGGCCCCAAAUGAGUCACUCGUGCUAAGGUCCACGUCACAGAACAGAUUUCACCGAACUUCGGCUCUCUCAGAAAUGCAGUCUUAAA
Acinonyx jubatus (cheetah) is the source of this 9585-nucleotide long non-coding RNA. RefSeq lists it as uncharacterized. The transcript has 6 exons. Lineage: Eukaryota; Metazoa; Chordata; Mammalia; Carnivora; Felidae. The record is from RefSeq and is a predicted model, not a curated record.